This 440-nucleotide ribosomal RNA is filed under the name uncultured bacterium. RNAcentral's name for it is "partial 16S ribosomal RNA". It matches the Rfam family "Bacterial small subunit ribosomal RNA", at positions 338 to 795 of the family's 1533-position model. The record is from RNAcentral.
CCUACGGGAGGCAGCAGUAGGGAAUAUUGCUCAAUGGGGGAAACCCUGAAGCAGCCACGCCGCGUGGAGGAUGAAGGUUUUCGGAUUGUAAACUCCUUUUGUUAGAGAAGAUAAUGACGGUAUCUAACGAAUAAGCACCGGCUAACUCCGUGCCAGCAGCCGCGGUAAUACGGCGGGUGCAAGCGUUACUCGGAAUCACUGGGCGUAAAGGGCGCGUAGGCGGGUUAGCAAGUCAGAUGUGAAAGCCUAUGGCUUAACCAUAGAACUGCAUUUGAAACCGUUAGUCUAGAGUAUGGGAGAGGUAGGUGGAAUUCUUGGUGUAGGGGUAAAAUCCGUAGAGAUCAAGAGGAAUACUCAUUGCGAAGGCGACCUGCUAGAACGUAACUGACGCUGAGGCGCGAAAGCGUGGGGAGCAAACAGGAUUAGAUACCCGAGUAGUC